Long non-coding RNA from Haliotis rubra (blacklip abalone), 219 nucleotides. RefSeq lists it as uncharacterized. The record is from RefSeq and is a predicted model, not a curated record. The transcript is spliced from 3 exons. NCBI's taxonomy places the organism in Eukaryota, Metazoa, Mollusca, Gastropoda, Lepetellida, Haliotidae.
AGCGACCCAGCGUACUUGGCCUCGGCGGCACGAGGGGUGUAUAACGCCAUGGUUGCUGGAGAUCCACAGGCUAUUUGGUUGAUGCAGGGCUGGCUGUUUGUGUUCGGAACUUUCUGGAAGGAUCCUCAAAUCAAGGCCCUUCUUACCGCUGUGCCAAAGGGCAAGAUGAUCAUCCUGGAUCUGUACUCCGAGCAGACCCCGAUCUUCCCCCGCACCCAC